This 72-nucleotide transfer RNA is filed under the name Hirsutella vermicola. Its description in RNAcentral is "tRNA-Met". It matches the Rfam family "tRNA". From Rfam's summary of the family: Transfer RNA (tRNA) molecules are approximately 80 nucleotides in length. Their secondary structure includes four short double-helical elements and three loops (D, anti-codon, and T loops). Lineage: Eukaryota; Fungi; Ascomycota; Sordariomycetes; Hypocreales; Ophiocordycipitaceae. The record is from RNAcentral.
AGCGGUUUGAUGUAAAAGUAAACAUAUUCGACUCAUGAUCGAAAUAUAUAGGUGCAAUCCCUAUGGCCGCAU